Molecule: long non-coding RNA, 1043 nt
Filed under: Astyanax mexicanus (Mexican tetra)
Lineage: Eukaryota; Metazoa; Chordata; Actinopteri; Characiformes; Acestrorhamphidae
Description: lncRNA (ENSAMXG00005018593.1)
Source: RNAcentral
CCGAUUCUAAAGCAGUACUCCUCUCCUCUCUCUCGGCUGGGUCUGUACUCCAGCUUGUUAGCGGGAUUAGCCCUGCGUCUCUGCUUCCCGUUAGCCGGCGCAGGGCAGUUGUAGUAGCAGCCGUUUGAUCCCACCCUGUUCCUCCUCGCUUUGAAACGGCUCGCUUUUCUCCAAUAAGGCAGCUAAUCCAAUGUCACCAGGAGCACCUUCAUGUGAAACCAGCAGCUGCAGGCCAAAAACAAGGUCGGCCGAUCUCUAUACAGCAGGGGGAGAGCGUGAGCGGAAUGAACUGCAUGCUGUUCCUAGCGCUGUUAGUUAUCUCCUAUUUGACGAGACGGCGUCUGGCGCUGCCCGGCUUCAGCUCUUCCUGUGGGCGGUCCCGAGCCGAGCUGCUGCAGAACAACGAGGAAGAGGAUGAGGAAGAGUUUCAUCAUGUGCAGCAUCAUAAACAACUCAGAGAGACCAACUGUAUUUCAGAAAUAACAAUAAAUUGUUGUAUUAUUAUUGAUAUUUCAGAAGCAUGUAGACGUUUUCUGCGUGGAAAAAACAUCAAAUCAUCACAGAAAAAUGCAGCAGAGCACCUGUAGUUUCUUAAGGCAGCUUCAAGGACACCGCUGGCAGAUUUAUAGUAGCACACUAGCAUCUCGCUCCAUUAGUCAUAAUGUAUUUAAUCCCCCCCUCUGAUUUAUCUUUCUCUGAAUAAUCCCGGGCUGCAGGAGGCCGGCGAUAGCUGAUCUCUCUCCUCUCCUUCUGCUCUGGACCUGUAGCCCUAAACCUACAGCUAGCCAAAAGCUAAUGAUUUUCCAAGCUAGCGUAGCAUUGGGUUUCUUCCACAUGGUUGCUCAGACUAGAAAUCCCACACGAGGACACUGCAUUUAAGUGAAAAGUGCAGUUGCUGAGAAGUUCAGCUCAGUCUGAACCCUAUAACCCCUCUGUUCUGCCUGUGUGUGGAGAGAAUUUCAUUCAGGAAUUUACACAACAAGUGUAAUAUAUAAUAUACAGUCAGGAAACUAAAUAUGACCAUCUUUCAGAGGACAGCUGUG